CCCAGACUCCUACGGGAGGCAGCAGUGGGGAAUAUUGCACAAUGGGGGAAACCCUGAUGCAGCGACGCCGCGUGAGUGAGGAAGUAUUUCGGUAUGUAAAGCUCUAUCAGCAGGGAAGAAAAAAUGACGGUACCUGACUAAGAAGCACCGGCUAAAUACGUGCCAGCAGCCGCGGUAAUACGUAUGGUGCAAGCGUUAUCCGGAUUUACUGGGUGUAAAGGGAGCGCAGGCGGUACGGCAAGUCUGAAGUGAAAUGCCGGGGCUUAACCCCGGAACUGCUUUGGAAACUGUGCAGCUAGAGUGCAGGAGAGGUAAGUGGAAUUCCUAGUGUAGCGGUGAAAUGCGUAGAUAUUAGGAGGAACACCAGUGGCGAAGGCGGCUUACUGGACUGUAACCGACGUUGAGGCUCGAAAGCGUGGGGAGCAAACAGGAUUAGAUACCCUCGUAA
This 448-nucleotide ribosomal RNA is filed under the name uncultured bacterium. Its description in RNAcentral is "bacterial SSU rRNA". It matches the Rfam family "Bacterial small subunit ribosomal RNA", at positions 330 to 793 of the family's 1533-position model. The record is from RNAcentral.